This 468-nucleotide ribosomal RNA is filed under the name uncultured bacterium. RNAcentral's name for it is "partial 16S ribosomal RNA". It matches the Rfam family "Bacterial small subunit ribosomal RNA", at positions 28 to 507 of the family's 1533-position model. The record is from RNAcentral.
GACGAACGCUGGCGGCGUGCUUAACACAUGCAAGUCGAACGGCGAUGCUCCAGCUUGCUGGAGUGGAUCAGUGGCGAACGGGUGAGUAUCACGUGAGCAACCUGCCCCAGUCUCUGGAAUAAGCGCUGGAAACGGCGUCUAAUACUGGAUACGAAACUGGCUCGCAUUGGAAUGGGUUGGAAAGUUUUGCGGUUUGGGUUGGGCUCGCGGCCUAUGAGCUUGUUGGUGAGGGAAUGGCUCACCAAGGCGACGACGGGUAGCCGGCCUGGGAGGGGGAACGGGCACAAGAGGACUACGAGACGGACCAGUGGCGAACGGGAGGCAGCGGUGGGAAGUAUUGCACAGUGGUCGAGAGCCUGAUGCAGCGACGCCGGGUGAGGAAUGACGGCCUUCGGGGUAAAAACCUCUUUCAGCAGAGAAGAAGCGAUAGUGACGGUACCUGCAGAAGAAGCACCGGCUAACUACGUG